This 22-nucleotide non-coding RNA is filed under the name Arabidopsis thaliana (thale cress). The record is from RNAcentral. Lineage: Eukaryota; Viridiplantae; Streptophyta; Magnoliopsida; Brassicales; Brassicaceae.
GACGUCGUAUCUGUGACAUCUA